Molecule: ribosomal RNA, 312 nt
Filed under: uncultured bacterium
Lineage: Bacteria
Description: bacterial SSU rRNA
Rfam family: Bacterial small subunit ribosomal RNA
Source: RNAcentral
AUUGAACGCUGGCGGCAGGCCUAACACAUGCAAGUCGAACGGUAACAGGAAGCAGCUUGCUGCUUCGCUGACGAGUGGCGGACGGGUGAGUAAUGUCUGGGAAGCUGCCUGAUGGAGGGGAUAACUACUGGAAACGGUAGCUAAUACCGCAUAAUGUCGCAAGACCAAAAGAGGGGGACCCUUCGGGCCUCUUGCCAUCGGAUGUGCCCAGAUGGGAUUAGCUUGUUGGUGGGGUAACGGCUCACCAAGGCGACGACCCUACGCUGGUCUUGAGAGGAGUGACCAGCCACACUGGAACUGAGACACGGUCCA